ACUUUUCUUCUCUUUGUUUCCUUAAGACUAAUUGUGGAGAGUUUUGAUUAAUUUUGCAGCUCCAUGGACACCGUCUUCGUGGAUGCUCCUGCCGCCGAGCACGACGGAAAGUGCAAGUGUGGCACAGGCUGCUCAUGUGUGAGCUGCACCUGUGGUCACUAAACCCAUACAACCAAAUUAAAGAUGUAAACGAAUAAAGUGUUUGUGGGAAAACAACGUUGUGGCUUUGUCUUUGGUUUGUUUAUAGUAUUUGUGUCUGUUGAGUGACAUGUAGUGUCUGUGAAAACCUGUCACUAUGUUUCUGUGAUUGUGUCAUAUAAUCGCCAUGUUCGUGGUCUUGUGAUGUUAUGAAAUGAUAUUAUUAGAAUACAUGCUUUGGCUCUCUUAAUUCCAUUUUAUUUUCUCCCUAACCAUAAUUUUGCUUCACAUCAUAGCUGCAAUUAAUCAAGGAAUUGCAGAUAGGAAAGUAAUAGAUGUAUUCUUGCAUACAAUAUUGUGGAUAACAAUGGACUUAUAGCUCAAGUAGCUUAAUUUACCCUUUGAUCUGAGGUUUGAUGUUCGAUUAUCCCUCCGUUAUCACCGUUACAUAAAAAUGAAAUAAAAUAUGACGGAUAUGUCCAAUAUGUUCUUAUUUGAAACCCUUUUGGAUCUUGGGAUUGGUAUUAAAUGGGAGACGAUUAGAAUGCUCAAUCAUUUUAUUUAGCAUUUGAAGAUGUUUUGAUUCCUUUUGCUCUUCCUUUGAGCCACCAAAACGAAUGGCACAAAACGCAGAAAUAGAAAUCCCAUUUCACUGUAUGGGUGGUGUGACUAGGCAAAGGGAUUUACAUGAAAUGAAACGCAUAGCCGCAUGACAUCGCUUGAUUCGUUUAAGACAACAACAACUAGGCGUGUAUGUUUAUUUAUGUUAGUCCUCGUGAAUAAGAGGUUAGCAAGGCAUUAGUUCAUCAAGGAAUUUACGAAUAUUUGAAUGAUAAACUAAUUCGAGCGAGCCUUACAAUUAGCCAAGACAAUAGCAUAUAUUAAGCUCACAUGUUGUAAGGGUGUAAGUCUCAGUAAAAUUUAAGUAAAUACAAGUCAAAUAUGGUUGCAGACAGAACUACAGAAGCUCUUCUUUCUUGUAUUAUUCACCAACGUUCAAAUAUUACCAUGUUGUAUGUCUAAACCUAAAGUAAAUGGUUUCCUUUCAAAACUGUUGAGCGUAGCCUUCAAUUUAUUAUCUUAACCAUCCGGAAAUUUCAAACAUUGAAGCCCUCUGCACGAAGGCACUUGAGAUGAGCAUCGAUCCAUUUUGUGCAAGCAUCUUGACCAUGUUCUACAAUGCAUUCAUCUCGCAGCUUCUUAGUAUCCGGGCAAGCACAGCAGAUCUUCUUCUUCGGCUUUGUGUCCAGGGCAGGAGUAGUGACUGCUGAUCCUUGAUUAGGCUGUGACCUUUGCAAAACCAAGGCAGAGGAAGUAUUUUCUGCCGGCAGUCCACCCAUUUCUCAAAGUUCUUCAAGACCUAACAGAAAUAUGCUACUAAAAAACAAGAAAGAAAACAAAGAACAUCAGCUUCACUCAGAGCAGCCUCAAUGAUCAACAUGUAUUCAUUAAGGAUGGUAUGCACCAUAUCAUACCUAAACAGAUUGAAUGGAAGAGAGAGAUAUGGCGUCGUAACUUAUAGAAAACACCCCGUAAAAUACGUUAAUCACGGAUUACCCUAAUCACUAGACACUAGCUCAUGUAAAAGUGAGGAAAUCAACCGAAAAGCAAAAACCCUAAACCCUACUUCUCCAAACGAGCACAAAUCCACAGGAUCCCAAAACAAAAAACCCAGAUGAAGAAAUAAACUUUUUCACCAAGGUUCCGGAUUUCAAUCAAGAUUCAAGACACGUCCUUUAUCCAACACCCACUCGGGCAUUUCUUCAAACAUACGGUGGGCACUUUGUUACUACAAGCAAACUCCCGCAUAAAUACUACAUAUUCACCAAAAGCGGCAGAAACUAUAAAUAUUAAAUACAAAGGCAAAGCAGAAAACCCAGAUGAAAAGUAAAGCAACCCAUCUAAUCAAACAACAACACAGCCAUAACCACAGAGAUUUUGGAACUUUACAUACAUUUAUUGGAUGGACAAGUAAAUAUGUCUCAGAAGAGUAACGAAAUUGGUAACAGAAAUGUAUGAGACAAGGAAGGAAUUACUUACCGCGGAAAAGGAAGGAGGAGGAGAAGCUGAAAGGAAGAAGCUUUGCGUUUUCUUGAAGGCAGAAAGUGGGAGCAGAGAAAAGGUGUUUGUUCUCUGUAGACGAAAUUGGCCGCUCAAAAUUUCAAGGCUAAAACUGGGGCGCGUAUGAGUCGAAGGGUCAACCCUUGUCUUGGGCUCUGCAGGCCUACAAAAAAUAUGCUGAAAACUUUCGGGCUUGUUUGGUAUUUUAUUUGAAAUUUUUUAUAAUUUCUCAAAUUUUUGCUGAAAAUAAUUUUCUUUAAAACUCAAAAACUUGUUUGGUAUGCGAGUUAAAAUUUUUAAAUCUUACAACUUAAACAGGACAAAGAGAUCAAAAAGAGGGGGUUGAGAGAGAAAGAGGAAAGAGGAGGAAAGAAAGUAAGAGAUGAUUGGAGGAAAGAAAAAGAAGUGAGAGGAUCGGUGGAGAUAGAGAGAAAGAAUCAGGAGAAUGGAGAGAGUAGAUUAGAGGAGAGACGAAAAAUGUAAAAAUAAAAAUAAUAAUAAUAAGAGAAAGUGGAGAGAGAAAGAAGAAAAUGGAAAGAUAGAUUUGGAGUGAGGGGGUAGAAGGGAGAGAAAAGAAAUGAUUGAGUUUAAAUUUAAAAAUUCUAAAAACUCACUUUUUUAGAUAAUAGACUACAUUUUUUUAGUUAGUCUUGAGUUAAGUUUUUAAAAAUAGUUCUACCAAACAAGUUUUUAAGGCCUAAAACAUAAAAAUUGUUUUUUAGUUUAAAAAGUUGCAUUCAAGUAAAGUACCAAACAUGCUCUUCAUUUUUUUUAAUUUUAAAUAUUUUUUUAUAGCUUUUAUCAAAUUGACUCUUUUUUUUUUUUUUUAUCUUAUCAGACAAAUUAAUCUAACGUCAAUAUAAAAUUGUAGCACAAACUGCCAAAACAAUGUUAAAAAUGGCCUUCUAAUUGUAUGUUGUACUCUAUUUACAAAUUCUAAAAAAUGUAGAUGUGAAUUACAUUAAUUUGUCACACGUUGUCGUAAAACCAAAUGAAAGACAUAAAUCGUAAAACCAAGUUAAGGACAUAAGUAAAUGCAUUUCCCAUCAUUCUAAAAAAUCUAAUAGCAAAUAGAAGCAGACCGGAUAAGGAAUCCGCAGUUCGGAUCAAAAGCCAGUCGUGAGGCAUUGAUCCUUGGAGCUUGCUUGCUAUAUCAUGGCCAUGGAUGAACACAGAGAAUUCAUUCAUAAGAGCAAAACAUCAUCAAGUCUCCACAAAUCAAAGCAACAACAGAGUGGAGCAUACAUAUUAGGAAAAACCCAGAUAACCCCAUAGCUUAAAACCCCAAGUAAAACCCUAGUCUUUCUUCUCUACACACAUAAACUUCAAGACGUGAGCGUAGUCACAUUAGCAAGAUAAGAUGUGCUCUCUUAUGUACCGAGUUUAAAUCCUCUUGUUCGCAGUUUAGAAUAUCGCUUGUAUCAUAGAACAAAACAAAAUUCCAUUAUAUUCAACCACAAUUUGCUCAAUAAAAUACUCUGAAAAGAUCACAUAUAUAUCAAAAACCCUAAACCCUAAAGUCUCACUUUACAAAUCCCAGAAACCAGAGCAAACUAAUCAGAAGCCAACCUUACUUAUUGUCAGUGGAGGAAUGGAUCUCGAUUGAGAUAUUUCAGCAACUACAACAUGCUGAAUAGCUGAUUGUCAGUGGAGGGAUUUUUCUAUUUGUGGUGAAUUUCAACUACAAACAUGACCUUUUAAAAAUUAUAAUAAUUGUAACUGUUGGAUCAAAUUUCAAUGGUCUGGAUCAUUUGAUUCUUAGGCUCAGUUCCUUUGGGUCCGGAAGGGAUCCGGUUCCCUUAGGCUGCACAUUUCUUCUAACUGCCAAUGGGAAUUUGACAUUUGAGUGAGGGUGGGUCAUGGUGUUGACGUGGCGGCUUUUAAGGGAAAGAACUGUGAGGCUCAAGUGUAGGAUGAGUGUAGAGGAUCCCAACCACUUUUGGGAUUGAAGCUGAAAAAGAGCUUUUUUAAAUAAAAAGAAAAUAUUACCUACUGAUUAGCAAAAAGAAAAGGGUAGGCAUUUUUUGCUGAUUUACAAAAUGAAAAAGGUAUGCUUUUUCUGCUGAUAAGCACAAAGGUAGGAAUUGAUAAAGUAACAAAGUGAGAAAUUAUUACUGUAGCGAUUCUUAAACUCUCGGUUUUCUAUUUUCACUUUUUUUUUUAAUAUUUUUGUCCAUUAAUUUUGUUUCGAGUAAUUGAAUCUUCGCUACGAAAAACAUAUGUAGAAGAAAAAAAUUAAGUGAGAAAAUCACUUCCUAAUUUUUUUUUUGGCUACUGCAAAAAGUAUCACCAUACCUGUUACUAUUACACACACUACAAGAUGAAUAGCUGCUAAGGUUAAUAUGUUUUCUUGGAAAAAAAAAAUGAUGCACAUAUUAUAAUUUAAGGUAUUUCAACCUUCCAUGUCCACCCAUCAUAUGUUUCACCAACAACAAGAAUCGAGUUUUAUAAUUUAAGUUUGAUGGAAAUGAGAUAAGGAUGUUUGGGAAUCAAAAGGAGUAGGAGGAUAGAGUUUUGCUUAUUUGGGGAAAAUGGUUAAUGAUUCAAACUCUAGUUCCUUCUCCUCCUUGCGUUGGCGCCUUGAUAUGGAGAGUUGUUCAGAACAAAAAUAGAUACAAAUAAGGAAGGUUGAUAGCUUAUUCUAUUUUUUGGUCUAAGGUUUUAAAUUAUAGAUUGUCACUUAGUACUACGGUCUAAUGGUAUUCAUAUUCACUUGUAAGUGAAAUGUCUUAGGUUCGUUUCUCGUCAAAUGCGAAUUUGAACCAUAUUAUUGCUAACUCAUUGUGAAGUUUAGCCCACUCUCCCAUCUCCUUAGUGUAGAUGCUAUCAUUUCUUUGAAGAAAAAGAAAAUGUUUUAAAUUGUAGAUUAAAAAGUAGAAAAUUCGGAUAAGGUAUGGGCUAGGUGUCUGAAGAGGAGUUUUGGGUGUAAAGAGAGGAGGCAGAUUCUCUCCUCUCUCACUUUCUGUGCCCUCCUGUUUUGUGUGGUCAUGGUUAAGCCACGUCAACAUUUUAUAUUAUUUUUUUUAUAGAGAUAAUAAGAUAAAAAUGAAUAGUAAUAUAAAAUGUUGACGUGGCUUAACUGUGACCACACAAACAGAAGGGUACGGGAAAUGGGAGGGCAGAGAAUCUGCCUCUGUAAAGAGAACCCUUCAACUUCAAUGCGACUCACUUCAAGCGCAUGGCCCAAUGGAAGGAUAUACUAUAGCUCUAAAUCGUUGCAACACAUCCAUAUCAAUGACUAUCGAAAUCACAUUAUUUCCCCAAAAUAUCAAAAUAUUUUCAACCUCGCAAGAGACAUGCCAAAAUGGCCACAUCUUCGUCACCAUCAACCGUCGAUUAUGUUGAUCCCUCGGUCGUCGCUUCGGUUGAUCCCUCCUCCGCCAUCAUCGCAAGCCCUCAUCCACCAUCUGUUACAAUCAGCCCCUAAUUUUCUUGUAAAUAAUCUAUUAAUGUGAAUUGGCCACAAUACUUCAAGAAGAGUAAAUUUAUAAAAAUAUUAUAACCUAUUACAGAAAAAAUAUUUUCAAGUAAAAUAGAAAGAAAUAUGAUUUCAAAAUUAAAAAAAUAUGUAUUAGAACCUAUUCUACCCAACCCUAGCCACACAUGCAUGCAACCCGACGAAUAUGUCCCUAGAUCCACCCCAACCUCACAUGUUACAGCGUAAGUUCCACCAUCAUAGUCUCAAGAAAUUAAUUCCGACAGCCUUGUCUCCAACUAUAUAAUAGAGAAACAAACUGCAAUUGAGAGAGCCAUAUAUUACCCUUUCUCUUUAUUUAAAUUUAAAUUUACAGAAGAGAAAAAUGAAAAUCAAUGAGAAAUGACACAUAUAAGAGAUAAAACUUCCAAUCUGAAAAUUAUUAAGGUUGUGACAUAGAAAAUUAGGGGGGGGGGGCGUUGCAAGAAAAUUGGGAGAAGAGAGAAUGUUGGGGAGGAGGGUCGGGGAGUUGGGAGGAGAAUAAUUUUUCUCUUAACUUUUUUAUUUUAUUUCAUUUUUAAUUAUUUUAAAUCAAAUAGAUAAUUUUAUAAAUAAGUAUAAUAAUCUAUGAAUUUUUUAACAGAGAUGGAAUGUCCUUAAUUGGCUAACAGAGAUAAAUACAAAGACCGAAUUGGCCAAAUUUAAAACACGGAGACCAAUUGAGCCAAUGAUUAAAACACAAUGACCAUUGUGAAUUUUAAGCCAAUUUUCUAAUAAAGAUUUAAUGGAACAUCUUUAUUUGGUUAACGGAGAUAAACAUGAGGACUAAAUUGCCCAAAUUGAAAACACGAAAACUAAAUUUGCCAAAUAGCUAUAACACAGGGACCAUUUUAACAUUUAAGCCAAAAAGAUUUUCCACACGUAUCAACUUAUUAUUUUCCACCCAUAUUGUGUUCCUAAAGGGACAUCAAACUGUAUUUCUACAAUAUGGAAUUGUUUCUUACAUGUAAGAACCCGCAUUAUCUUUUCAAGGCUCCUAAUGCAAUCCCUUGGUUCCUUAUGGUGGAUUGGAAGAAUUGUUUAUGACAACCUUGUCAAAUGUGGUUUAUAUGUACACAUAUUUAUCAAGAAGGAAAUUAGGUUGCGAUCUUUAGCUUCAUUUAGAACAGAUAGGUAUGCUUAUCACUAGUGGUCUACGGUUCCAAAUUUUGUUGCCUCUGCUCAUGCUCGUGACAUUUCAUUUUGUCCUUGUUGUCGGUUUCUUUGAUCAUUUGGUCAUUGUGGGUUCUCACUUUUACGGGAGGAUAGGUGUCUUAUGAACUUAUAAAAAUAAAUAAUAAAUAAAAAGAUUCUCGUUUCAGUGCACUCAAAACAUAUAGGAGGUUAUUCAUUAUAAUUUAUAAUCCAAUCCUAAAGACCAACCAGGCAAAAAUACAUUAUUUAUGAACCAUUGAUGAAGUCAGGGGAUGAAUGGACUCAAUCUCAUUUGAGAAUGAGUGGGUUUAGUUGCUCAUGUCAGUUUCCAGUUUUCCAUUUACUACAACCAAUGACAUUGAAAAAUCCAAAAUCCGAUUUCAUAUAUAGCUUGCUCCGCUACGCUCAAACCCCCACUCUUUCUCCUGUGGUCAAAUUUAUUUGUUCCUUCUAUUAACAAUGAAUCACUUUUAUUUUUCUUUUUUUUAAAGUACGAUAUUUAUUGAUUAUAUGUAUCAAUAAUUCGUAUGAAGAUGAUAAGAUAUUUAGUGGGCUUUGAUAAAAAUCAUGUCGGAAAUUUUAACCAUAAUAAAAUGUUAACCUUAAGAAUUUUAAGCCUUUUUUGUUUAUUUCUUUAAUUUUUUUGGUGAACGUUUAUUUCUAUUUUGGUCCCUUUAAAUUCACUAACUACACCUACAAACUUUGAUUUGGACAUGGUUUAACAGAAGAGUCUUGCUCACCUAAGAUCAUCUCCAACCGAAGAGUCCAGAGGGCCAGAGGGCCAAAAAAGGCCCAAAAAUCAUCUCCAACCGAGGGUUUGGCCAGAGGGCUCGUGGGCCCCACAAAAUCUGAAAGGGCCAAAGGGCUGGCUAGAAAUCUCAUCAAUCCUAUCGGUUAUAUCCGAUAGGAAUUCUAAGCCAAAUUUCAAAUGCAACGGCUAGCUGACGUUAGUUACUGUUGAUUUUUUUUUUUGGGCCAAAUAUAUUUUUUUUAAUUCUUAAAUUCUCAUUUUUUUCCUAUGAAUACCUAAACCAUUCAUUCACCAUUCCACACAAAUUUUUCACCAUUUCAAUUCUCAUAUUUUCUUACCUCUUUCAAAAAUAGUUCCUUCAAUUCUUUCAAUAAUUUUCAAAUGGCCUCGUCUGCAAUGAAAGGUAGGGCUUGGACCCGAAAAGAAGAUGAAGCUCUUUGCAAGGCUUAUAGAUGUGUGUCGGAAGAUAGUGUGAGGGAGAGUUCUCAAACAAGUGAAAGUGUUUGGACUCGUGUGUCCAAAAAAUACUUAGAUUUCUACGAAGGCACCGUUCCACUAAAUAUCCGAAACCAUGAGAGUUGUUCUUCAAGAUGAAAAAAACAUCUUCACCCAAGUUUGAACAGAUGGCAUCAAGCACUGUUAGCAGCCGCAAGUAAACAUAUAAGCGGCGCUAACUACUACGACGAAGUAAGUGUUUUCACAAUUUAUUUUAAAUAUUUAAUUAUAUUACAUUUAAUUUCAUGAAUUACUUUCCCUUAGUUUUUGUAAAUAUAUUUAAUUAUAUUACAUUUAAUUUCAUAAAUUAAUUUCCUUUAAUUUUUGUAAUUAUAUUUUCUAGGUACGGCAAGCGGAGGAAUUGCAUAUGGAGGGCAGCUUGAAACCCUUUCAGUUUCACAGUUGUUGGGAAAUUUGUAAAGAUUGGGUGUUAUUUGAAGAUCCACCUCAACAUAGAGUAGCUCCUACACCAAUGUUCGGAACUACAUCCUCAGCUGCAGAUAUGGAUGAAGAUGGAUCUCCUGCCAUUAGGGUAGAAAAUUCGUCUUCGGGUGAAGGUUCCAUACCUAGGGCUAUGGGACGAAACAAAGCUCGAAGGUUGAAGGAAAAGGGUAAGGCAAAUGAUGAUUACGCCGCUCAAUAGGAAGUGGCAGCCUCAUUGCGAUUAAUGGCGGAGCAAAAUGCCAUUGCCGCGGAAGAAAGGAACCGUAGGCAUGAAGAACAGGCCAAACAAAUAUAAGAAGAGAUGGAUGAUAAGAAUAUGGAAAUGAACACUUCGAAUUACACUCCAAUGAGUAAGGCCUAUUUUGAUAAAAAAAUAUAUAUAUAUAUUAUGACCCGGCGACAGUUGUUUACCUCUGACUAUACUCCUACAAUGGCAGAUGAUGAAGAUGAUGUUGAUUAUGGAUAUUAAAUUUAAGUUCUUGUAGUUUUAAAUUUAAGUUAAUGUUGUUUUUAAAUUUAAUUUUUAGUUUUUAAAUAUAAGUUGUUGUUGUUUUUAAAUUUAAAUAAUAAUUUAUGUUUAGCCUUCAGUUGGAGACGAUUUUUUGUGACAGGGCUAAAAAGAGUCCUAUGACGCUUUGACCCUCGGUUGGAGAUGGAGGCAAAUAUGACCAUGUACUGUUCAUUAAAAUAUUAAUAUCUUAGAAGGCCAAAGGGCUAAAACGAACCCUCUGGCCCUUGUUCGGUUUGAGAUGGUCUAAAGUCCUCAUUUUUAAGGCUUAGGCGGAACCAAAUGCAUAUUAGCUACAAGAUUAUACUAGUUUACAUCCAAAGACUUAAAUUAUUUGAUAAUUUAAUAAAGCAAAACCAACUUAAAAUAUUAGUUUAUUAAGUUGUCAAAUAUUUUAAGCAUUUGGACAUAAACUAAUAUGAUUUUGUGGCCAAUAUGCAUUUGAUCCUCAUAGAUUUUCAAAAUGAUGACCUUAGAAGAGCAAGACUGUUAAACAGAAAGUAGAGUAUGAGGAGGACAGGUGCAAUGAUAUAUAUAUAUAUAUAUAUAUAGUGACACACCCCGAUCGAGAUCAAGGCAUGAUGGCCAUCACAUGAGGGUGACGUAGCCAUGUGCACAAUGCGGAAGCAAUUAAGAUAAGAAAUAUACAAAUAAUUAAAAACUAAAACUACUAGAGUGCACUAGAAAGCGAGAAGUGUUAGGAGUCAAUUACGAAAGUAAAUACUCAUAAUCAGAGCAUAAUAAGUCUAGGUGCAGUCCAGUAGGACAAGUACUAGUUAUACAGUAUCAAGAAUGUCCUACUAUUGUUUAAAUAUGUCAGAACCGUCGAAAUCCUUAAGGCCACCGAUAGCAAGCUUACUUAAAACCUGGAGGAGCGCAAAACAGGAAACGUGAGUGGGCAAAAACAAAUGUUUUACAAAACCAUUUCAUUUAUCAACAUAUAUAAUCCCUCGCUGUAAAACAUGUAUAAUUUUUCCCAGAAUCAAGAUAUAUGCAUAUACAUAAAUAUUUAUGUAAUUAUAUCAAUUCAAAUCAUGCUUCACAUAAUCAUAUUCAUAUGUAUGCCAUGCCAAGAUAUAACAAAGUAAGCAAUUCAGGUAAGAAUAAUUUCAUAUAAAUAUAACAUGUUAGCCGGAACCCCUGUGGUAGUCUGUACGGCUGAAUUCAUAGCUCAAAAGUCAAUCUAGCCAAAGUCACUAUAAUGACCUAUACGGCACUAUAUUGCACAAGUGUCGGAACCAAAUGAAAAGGUCUGUACGACAAUAAUGGGUGUAAUAUAAUCAUGCUCAAUACUACUCACACAUAAUAUUGCACAAGUGUCGGAACCAAAUGAAAAGGUCUGUACGACAAUAAUGGGUGUAAUAUAAUCAUGCUCAAUACUACUCACACAUAAUAGUUGGACGAUAAAUCGCUAGUCACCUACGAGUCGGAACCACCUAAGAUGGUCUAUGCGACAGGACUGUGCACCUAAAUUGGAUCCAAUAUGAGCAUAUAGUGCGGGAGGUGACAUAAUAAACAGGCAUGUGCCAUAUCUCUGGCUAAAAUCACAAUCAUCCUAGGUGCAGUUUGAUGAGCUCAACGUUAUUCAAUCACAUAUCACAUCAUUGAUAAUUCACAUAACCAAACAUAACUCACCUGAGCUUACCUGAGCGUCCACAACACCACAAUUAUAUAUAUAAUGGAUCAUAUACCAAUUCAUAUAUGAAAUAUAAUUUCAUAUGCAUGGCAUGUAAGGCAUACUUUCAUUUAAACACAUAUUUCUUGGAAAAUAUCAAGUAUAUACAUAUAUACUGAAAACCAAAAGCCCACUCACGGAUAUGUUGAAGGGUUGUAGCCCCCAAGUCACCCUUGAACCCGCUCGUCCUCGGGAUAAGUCUCACCUAUAUGCGAAUUAACUAUAAAAACGUUAUUUAAAGCACAUAGGCAAAACUAGCUAAUAACUUCUCAUACAUAGCUCAAAUUGGGUAUAUGAAUAUACCAUAGUGACCUAUACAAUCUCAGGAUCGUCCCCAAAUUUUUAAAAUAAUUUUUCAUCCACCCACGGGCGACCACGCGCCGGCGAGUGCACAACAAGAUGCGCGGCCACGCGCAGGAAACCCUAACGGAAACAGUAACGACAGUUAGGGAAUAUUCCGCUAAAUCCUAACAGAUUCCGUUAAACUUAACUGAUGACGUCAGAAUAUUCCGUCAGAAUUGACGGAAUAUUCCGUCGUCUUCAACCUCAGACUCCGGCGACAGUCGUUGUCGCCGGAAAACUGGGAAUUUUUCAAAUCGCUAUAUCUCACUCAUUUUUCAUCCAUUUCCUACGAAAUUUGCACCAAAAUGAAGCUUACAACUUGAAGAACAUUUCCUUACCAAUUUGAAGCUCCAAAAGUCACGGAAUCUCGCCGGAGAAAUUCCACAAAAUCCGGCCAAGCUUGAAACUCCCGAUCCAGACGUCCAAUUUCACCCAAUGAACCAUUCCGAGCCUCCUUAGGACCUCCUAAAGCUUCAUAUGUCCUUAAAAUUCCCUAAAAAUCAACAUUUUACGUGAGCAUGAAUAGUACCUCAAAUCGGGGUUCGGAUUUCGCGAGUUUUUAAUGGAGUUCUUACCUGAAAAUGGUACCAUUCAACUCGUAUGGUUCUCACGAACACAAUGGUGUGCUUCAUACCCUCGAUCUUCACACUUUCGAUGGGUUUUGGGUGUAGUCCGUACAAGAGAGAAGAAGAGAGAGAGAGAGAGAGAGAGUGUGUCCGAGAGAGUACGGAAGGGUGAGAGAGAGAGGAAGUUUUGGGUGUGUGUGUGUGGUCCUCACACUGACACAUCACCAAACCCACAUCUACAACCAAACAAAAAGUCUAAGUCCCAAAUUAUCCAAAAUUAAGCUAGGGCAACCAAAUAAACCCUAAUAUUAAAUCCCAUGAAACAUUUAAGGGUAUUCUCGACAUUUCCCAUCCAUGAGAAUAAUUUUCCGGGACGGGCUGUGACAUAUAUGAAGUAUUAUUGGUACUUCAAAAAUCUCAUUCUACACUCCUCAUAAGUGUAUAUUUUUUUCCUAAUAUAGAAAGUUUGAAGUAUAAAAUGAAAUUUUUAGAAUGCUAAUAACAAUUCACAUAUAUAUAUAUAUAUAUAUAUAUAUAUAUAUAUAUAUAUAUAUAUAUAUAUAUCUUUCUUCCCUACUCGUAGAUAAAAAGAUGGAAAAAUAAUGUACAUGGGAAUGUAAGGCUAUACUUCCUCUGAAAAAUGUUUGAAAGCAACGCUGGCUACUCGGAGAAGCAAUUGCUUUGAAAGUCACCAAGAACUUUUUUAUUUUCUUCAUUAAUGUAAAAUCACCUUAAAAGAACUAUUAAACACAACAAAGUUGGUAUAUAUUUGAUUGUCUAAUUUUAAGUUAUUCAAGAUUUAAGUUGUUUAAUUUCAAAAACUUUGUGAUAUCGAGUACCAUUUCUAUGAUUGAUCUCUUUCUUAUGUAAAAAAAAUUAUUUUGUGGUACUAGAACACCAUCACAUAACUAACUUGUUAUUUUGUGCUCCAAGUUCCUUAAUUUGAAGAAAAACAAAUGGCUUGUAGCAAAAUUUUGGCCUACAUAAAAGCCCUUAGAUUAUAAGAAACUUACAAGAAUCCAAAAUGCAAAGCUAUUCAAUUCGAAGUUGCACAUCAAUAUAUGUGGGUCUAUCUUUAUUAAUAAGAAAAACUAAUGAAAAUGGCUUGAAAACUUUGAGUUUUAAUGAUAAGCACAAAAUAAAAGGUAAAGUGAAUAGUAGCAGGUUUGACUUUUUAGUGUACAAAUGUGGUUUUUCGAUAAACCAAUGGAGUUCUUACCUGAAAAUGGUACCAUUCAACUCGUAUGGUUCUCACAAACACAAUGGUGUGCUUCAUACCCUCGAUCUUCACACUUUCGAUGGGUUUUGGGUGUAGUCCGUACAAGAGAGAAGAAGAGAGAGAGAGAGAGAGUGUGUCUGAGAGAGUACGGAAGGGUGAGAGAGAGAGGAAGUUUUGGGUGUGUGUGUGUGGUCCUCACACUGACACAUCACCAAACCCACAUCUACAACCAAACAAAAAGUCUAAGUCCCAAAUUAUCCAAAAUUAAGCUAGGGCAACCAAAUAAACCCUAAUAUUAAAUCCCAUGAAACAUUUAAGGGUAUUCUCGACAUUUCCCAUCCAUGAGAAUAAUUUUCCGGGACGGGCUGUGACAUAUAUGAAGUAUUAUUGGUACUUCAAAAAUCUCAUUCUACACUCCUCAUAAGUGUAUAUUUUUUUCCUAAUAUAGAAAGUUUGAAGUAUAAAAUGAAAUUUUUUAGAAUGCUAAUAACAAUUCACAUAUAUAUAUAUAUAUAUGUAUAUCUUUCUUCCCUACUCGUAGAUAAAAAGAUGGAAAAAUAAUGUACAUGGGAAUGUAAGGCUAUACUUCCUCUGAAAAAUGUUUGAAAGCAACGCUGGCUACUCGGAGAAGCAAUUGCUUUGAAAGUCACCAAGAACUUUUUUAUUUUCUUCAUUAAUGUAAAAUCACCUUAAAAGAACUAUUAAACACAACAAAGUUGGUAUAUAUUUGAUUGUCUAAUUUUAAGUUAUUCAAGAUUUAAGUUGUUUAAUUUCAAAAACUUUGCGAUAUCGAGUACCAUUUCUAUGAUUGAUCUCUUUCUUAUGUAAAAAAAAUUAUUUUGUGGUACUAGAACACCAUCACAUAACUAACUUGUUAUUUUGUGCUCCAAGUUCCUUAAUUUGAAGAAAAACAAAUGGCUUGUAGCAAAAUUUUGGCCUACAUAAAAGCCCUUAGAUUAUAAGAAACUUACAAGAAUCCAAAAUGCAAAGCUAUUCAAUUCGAAGUUGCACAUCAAUAUAUGUGGGUCUAUCUUUAUUAAUAAGAAAAACUAAUGAAAAUGGCUUGAAAACUUUGAGUUUUAAUGAUAAGGACAAAAUAAAAGGUAAAGUCAAUAGUAGCAGGUUUGACUUUUUAGUGUACAAAUGUGGUUUUUCGAUAAACCAAUGGAGUUCUUACCUGAAAAUGGUACCAUUCAACUCGUAUGGUUCUCACAAACACAAUGGUGUGCUUCAUACCCUCUAUCUUCACACUUUCGAUGGGUUUUGGGUGUAGUCCGUACAAGAGAGAAGAAGAGAGAGAGAGAGAGAGAGUGUGUCCGAGAGAGUACGGAAGGGUGAGAGAGAGAGGAAAUUUUGGGUGUGUGUGUGUGGUCCUCAUACUGACACAUCACCAAACCCACAUCUACAACCAAACAAAAAGUCUAAGUCCCAAAUUACCCAAAAUUAAGCUAGGGCAACCAAAUAAACCCUAAUAUUAAAUCCCAUGAAACAUUUAAGGGUAUUCUCGACAUUUCCCAUCCAUGAGAAUAAUUUUCCGGGACGGGCUGUGACAUAUAUGAAGUAUUAUUGGUACUUCAAAAAUCUCAUUCUACACUCCUCAUAAGUGUAUAUUUUUUUCCUAAUAUAGAAAGUUUGAAGUAUAAAAUGAAAUUUUUAGAAUGCUAAUAACAAUUCACAUAUAUAUAUAUAUAUAUGUAUGUAUAUCUUUCUUCCCUACUCGUAGAUAAAAAAGAUGGAAAAAAUAAUGUACAUGGGAAUGUAAGGCUAUACUUCCUCUGAAAAAUGUUUGAAAGCAACGCUGGCUACUCGGAGAAGCAAUUGCUUUGAAAGUCACCAAGAACUUUUUUAUUUUCUUCAUUAAUGUAAAAUCACCUUAAAAGAACUAUUAAACACAACAAAGUUGGUAUAUAUUUGAUUGUCUAAUUUUAAGUUAUUCAAGAUUUAAGUUGUUUUAAUUUCAAAAACUUUGUGAUAUCGAGUACCAUUUCUAUGAUUGAUCUCUUUCUUAUGUAAAAAAAUUAUUUUUUGUGGUACUAGAACACCAUCACAUAACUAACUUGUUAUUUUGUGCUCCAAGUUCCUUAAUUUGAAGAAAAACAAAUGGCUUGUAGCAAAAUUUUGGCCUACAUAAAAGCCCUUAGAUUAUAAGAAACUUACAAGAAUCCAAAAUGCAAAGCUAUUCAAUUCGAAGUUGCACAUCAAUAUAUGUGGGUCUAUCUUUAUUAAUAAGAAAAACUAAUGAAAAUGGCUUGAAAACUUUGAGUUUUAAUGAUAAGCACAAAAUAAAAGGUAAAGUGAAUAGUAGCAGGUUUGACUUUUUAGUGUACAAAUGUGGUUUUUCGAUAAACCAAUGGAGUUCUUACCUGAAAAUGGUACCAUUCAACUCGUAUGGUUCUCACGAACACAAUGGUGUGCUUCAUACCCUCGAUCUUCACACUUUCGAUGGGUUUUGGGUGUAGUCCGUACAAGAGAGAAGAAGAGAGAGAGAGAGAGAGAGAGAGUGUGUCCGAGAGAGUACGGAAGGGUGAGAGAGAGAGGAAGUUUUGGGUGUGUGUGUGUGGUCCUCACACUGACACAUCACCAAACCCACAUCUACAACCAAACAAAAAGUCUAAGUCCCAAAUUAUCCAAAAUUAAGCUAGGGCAACCAAAUAAACCCUAAUAUUAAAUCCCAUGAAACAUUUAAGGGUAUUCUCGACAUUUCCCAUCCAUGAGAAUAAUUUUCCGGGACGGGCUGUGACAUAUAUGAAGUAUUAUUGGUACUUCAAAAAUCUCAUUCUACACUCCUCAUAAGUGUAUAUUUUUUUCCUAAUAUAGAAAGUUUGAAGUAUAAAAUGAAAUUUUUAGAAUGCUAAUAACAAUUCACAUAUAUAUAUAUAUAUAUGUAUAUCUUUCUUCCCUACUCGUAGAUAAAAAGAUGGAAAAAUAAUGUACAUGGGAAUGUAAGGCUAUACUUCCUCUGAAAAAUGUUUGAAAGCAACGCUGGCUACUCGGAGAAGCAAUUGCUUUGAAAGUCACCAAGAACUUUUUUAUUUUCUUCAUUAAUGUAAAAUCACCUUAAAAGAACUAUUAAACACAACAAAGUUGGUAUAUAUUUGAUUGUCUAAUUUUAAGUUAUUCAAGAUUUAAGUUGUUUAAUUUCAAAAACUUUGCGAUAUCGAGUACCAUUUCUAUGAUUGAUCUCUUUCUUAUGUAAAAAAAAUUAUUUUGUGGUACUAGAACACCAUCACAUAACUAACUUGUUAUUUUGUGCUCCAAGUUCCUUAAUUUGAAGAAAAACAAAUGGCUUGUAGCAAAAUUUUGGCCUACAUAAAAGCCCUUAGAUUAUAAGAAACUUACAAGAAUCCAAAAUGCAAAGCUAUUCAAUUCGAAGUUGCACAUCGAUAUAUGUGGGUCUAUCUUUAUUAAUAAGAAAAACUAAUGAAAAUGGCUUGAAAACUUUGAGUUUUAAUGAUAAGGACAAAAUAAAAGGUAAAGUCAAUAGUAGCAGGUUUUACUUUUUAGUGUACAAAUGUGGUUUUUCGAUAAAGUGAACAGUAUCAUGAGCUUUUCGUUAAAACUCUCUUAUUAAUAUGAUACAAAUAUGAGAUUUAAAUUGGGGCAAAAAUAUAUAGCAUUUUUGUUUAAAGAAUGGUCUCAAGAGAAAGAAUCAAUGCGAAUAAGUGAGGAGCAAAUUACCAACUAUUUUCUCUUUAGGCCAGCAUUUGUUGGUUUGUUCCAAGUUAAGCAGAUAUGUUCUCGUCUCUUAAAUUCGAUGCCAAAUUUGGCAAGUUCUCUGGACACUUGGAUGGUGAAAACUUCGUGGGAAUUUGUGCUUUUACAUGCGUAUAAGCCUAUAAGGUAGUACAACCUUUUAAGUUUUAAGAGUAAUGUUAUUCAUACCAUGUUUUUGUAUCAUAUUUUCAUACCACUUUAGAUGGCAUUUGAUGUGAACAGUCACAUCAUUUGAAUUAAUCAAAUUUUUAAAUUUAGUUCAUUAUUUAAUAAACUAAUAAUUAAGAAAAAUUAAUUAAUUAAAUCAUGAUUGUGGUAUACUAGGAGUCUUUCUCCUUCCUUUCCUUAGGUUUUGUAAAUUUUUCAGAUGAUAUGGAUGUCCACAUCAGAUGCCACUAUGAAAAUGUGGUACAAAAACAUGGUAUAAAUAGCAUUACUCAAGUUUUAAUAUUCCUGUAAUUUUUAUACUAUAUCUAAUUAGUAAUCACAAUGAACAUUAAGGCUGGAAAAAAAAAAUCACAAUCCACUAGUAAGUUUUUGGUGCUCCUAAAGCGGUUUCAAUUUGCUGCAUAUAAUCUCUGUCAAUAAAAUACAGAUGAUUCAAUUUCCCAAACCCAUGCCGAAUGGGGAUGGAGUGGGGAGGAUGGGGGGAUGGGGUUAUUUUGGGAGUGAGGACUGCAGGAGGGCGUAUCCGAGUCGGAUAAUCCGACCUCGCCUUGCCAGUUAUUAUCUCCAAUAAACUGAACAUUUGCGACUAAUUAAGUACUUAUGCAUGAAGCACUUGAAAAUAUUUCCUGAAGAAGCAUGCAUGUGUUCUUCCACGAUAUUUGAUCACGUUAAAAAAGUUUUAACUCUUUCAAAAAUAGUUUAACAAAUCGAGUCUUUGGAGAUAUUCUUGAUCACUUUAUGAGAGAUUUAGAAUGAGAGAUAUUGUCGAUUACACUCAAGUUUCUCCCAUAUGUCUUUUAUAAAGGCCAAAGUGCAUGCUUAUCUCCAUUAAUUAUACUACAAACUAAGAGCUUUAGGGAUAACAAUUAAUCUAUAAUCUUUUCCCAAUUCAUGAGUUAAGAACUUGAGAGUGAGAGAGAGAUACAUAUCAACUCAUAUCUCAAUAUGCGUGCACGAAGUGAUUUGGUCAUCUUGUAAACAAGAGAACUGAAGUUGACACGAGAGGAGGAUAGCAAACCAAGCCCUCCAUUAUCAAGAUUCCUUCGGACGUUUCUCGGGAGACAUGUGCUUCCCACAUGCCUCGAGGCCCCCAACUACACCUUACUAUCUACUGUAGGCCCCACCUCCCAGCAACUAUCACCCUUGCUUCUUCCCUCUCCGUGCAUCUAUAAAUUCAGGACGAUGGUGCAGAUUGGAGAUACAGCAAGCAAAAUACCCUUCGAGCUAAACCCUAAAACACACUUCAGUUCCAAGUUCUAAGUUCAUCUGCAACAUGUCGGGGAAGUGCGACAACUGCGACUGCGCUGACAGCACCCAGUGCGUGUAAGUAAUGCUUCUUUAUCAGUUUAGUUAUGGAUCUGUAAAUCUUGCAUGGCUAAAUACUGGUUUGGUACUGAGCUUAAAAAGGUGUUUGGUAAAUAAUUAAAAAUAACUUAUUUUUACGGUUUUGGGUGAAAAAAAAAAACUGAAAACGGGAAGCAGCAAAAAUAAGUUUAUUCUCACAACACAGCCGAAAUAGUUUUUAUUACAAUGAUAGUGUAUUUGUGUUAUGAAAGUCUUUCUUUUGUAUAUAGACUAUACAGAUGGGAAGGUCUUGGAUAUCCUCGUAGGUAUGACACCAUGGAUGUAUCGCUGAAGACUAAACCCUAGCUAUAGUGCUAAUCAAAUCAAGAUACGUGAUUAGUGCUAUAGGAAUAUGGUGAUAUAUCCUCGGUGACACCUAAAUGUUUCUCGAAUAGAAAGGGUUCGACUAGGGUUACCAACUAGUAGUUUACUCGCUUAAUAACAAGAUUAUAUAGGGUAUUUACUUGCUUAAUGCGAAUUAAAUAACUGAUGGAGGGCUUAACUGAAAUGAUUUAGCUCUAGUAUGUGGUAUUUCUCUUCUUGACGUUGAAGAUCUGCUGUUUCGGAUUCAUUUUUUUCGAUCUAAUUGGUGCAUAUAUGCCUUCAAAGCUUUAAAAUGCCAAUUUUUUAAAUCGCAGGAAGAAGGGAAACAGCUACGACUUGGUGAUCGUUGAGACUGAGAACCGGUACUUUUGUCAUAAACUUCAAUACAUUUUAAGAAUUAACUUUUCUUCUCUUUGUUUCCUUCAGACUAACUGUGGAGAGUUUUGAUUAAUUUUGCAGCUCCAUGGACCGUCUUCGUGGAUGCUCCUGCCGCCGAGCACGACGGAAAGUGCAAGUGCGGCACAGGCUGCUCAUGUGUGAGCUGCACCUGUGGUCACUAAACCCAUACAACCAAAUUAAAGAUGUAAACGAAUAAAGUGUUUGUGGGAAAACAACGUUGUGGCUUUGUCUUUGGUUUGUUUAUAGUAUUUGUGUCUGUUGAGUGACAUGUAGUGUCUGUGAAAACCUGUCACUGUCUCUGUGAUUGUGUCAUGUAAUCGCCAUGUUCGUGGCCUUGUGAUGUUAUGAAAUGAUAUUAUUAGAAUACAUGCUUUGGCUCUCUUAAUUCCAUUUUAUUUUCUCCCUAACCAUAAUUUUGCUUCACAUCAUAGCUGCAAUUAAUCAAGGAAUUGCAGAUAGGAAUGUAAUAGAUGUAUUCUUGCAUACAAUAUUGUGGAUAAUGGACUUAUAGCUCAAGUAGUUUAAUUUACCCUUUCAUCUGAGGUUUGAUGUUCGAUUAUCCCUCCGAUAUCACCGUUAUAUAAAAAUGAAAUAAAAUAUGACGGAUAUGUCCAAUAUGUUCUUAUUGGAAACCCUUUUGGAUCUUGGGAUUGGUAUUAAAUGG
RNAcentral lists this long non-coding RNA (19421 nucleotides) under Malus domestica (apple). RNAcentral's name for it is "long non-coding RNA (MDOM_LNC003351)". The record is from RNAcentral. Lineage: Eukaryota; Viridiplantae; Streptophyta; Magnoliopsida; Rosales; Rosaceae.